GACGAACGCUGGCGGCGUGCUUAACACAUGCAAGUCGAACGGAAAGGCCCUGCUUUUGUGGGGUGCUCGAGUGGCGAACGGGUGAGUAACACGUGAGUAACCUGCCCUUGACUUUGGGAUAACUUCAGGAAACUGGGGCUACUACCGGAUAGGAGCUCCUGCUGCAUGGUGGGGGUUGGAAAGUUUCGGCGGUUGGGGAUGGACUCGCGGCUUAUCAGCUUGUGGGUGGGGUAGUGGCUUACCACGGCUUUGACGGGUAGCCGGCCUGAGAGGGUGACCGGCCACAUUGGGACUGAGCUACGGCCCAGACUCCUACGGGAGGCAGCCGUGGGGAAUAUUGCACAAUGGGCGGAAGCCUGAUGCAGCAACGCCGCGUGCGGGAUGACGGCCUUCGGGUUGUAAACCGCUUUCGCCUGUGACGAAGCGUGAGUGACGGUAAUGGGUAAAGAAGCACCGGCUAACUACGUG
This 468-nucleotide ribosomal RNA is filed under the name uncultured bacterium. RNAcentral's name for it is "partial 16S ribosomal RNA". It matches the Rfam family "Bacterial small subunit ribosomal RNA", at positions 28 to 507 of the family's 1533-position model. The record is from RNAcentral.